ACAACACAGCCCACGCAGGCAAGAACUACAGGAACAACCACUGAAGAAGAAGACGAAGAGGUUCUUAGAGUAGGAGAGUUUUCAUGGGGAGCAGACGUAGGAGGAGGAGGAGGAGGAUGAGGAGGUGAAGUAGAAACAUCUUGCGUAGGUUUUGGAUCCGAAGCUGUUGAAGAAUGAGUUGAGACAUUUUUAUGAGAAGGUUGUGGGGAUGAUGGUGGUGUGAUAGUUGCAGCUGCAGGCGUAGCCUCGCGGCUGUUUCUUCUGGAAGGCAAGUUGUCAUAUGUUAAUGGCUCACGAGGUACAAGUGCUUUCCUGUGAAACCCAACUGCUUUCCUACAGAGAAAGUAGAAAAACAAAAAUAAGGUUAUGUCAUUGCAACAAAAAUAAGGUUAUGUCAGAGCCGAUCCUAACGAAACAUUCGUUUGAAAAAGUUUAUAUAUAGAUAUGCCCCAAAAUUAUUUUAGUCCCCAAAAUUAUUGAAAUCUUUAAUAAAUCGUGUAAGACACCAAAAUCUGAGGGCCGCCCCCUAACAAGUUAAGAUCAAAAUGAUAAAUAUCUCGACAUGUUUAGUGUUGAUUCUAGAAGUAAAUUAAAUAUCUGUGGAGCAAGACAGAUUGACUCGUUAUCAAGAUUGAUAUCUAAGAUAUGAGGUUUAGUCUGCGAUAUUAUAUAUCUUUUAGGAUUAUGAAAACCAUUUUUAGUAGAUUAAAAAAAAAUUAAAGAAAAUGAAUAUUGGAUUUUGAGGCUGUAUAAAUAUGGAUUUAAAAACUUGUAAAUUAUUUAUUUACAUAAUCAAUAUUAAAACCUUAUAACGGAUAUUUACCUCAAAAUAGAGUUUUGCUCUCUAAAUUUUGUAGAUUUUUCUUGUUUGAUUAGCGUUUGUUCACAACAAUCACUAACAAUACUUACUUGUAACUAACAACGGUUUUUUUUUCUACAUAACAUACGAUACAGAGUGUGUGUGUGUGUGAAGUCACUUAAGUUAUGGAAUGACUAGAGAAACUAUAGAUCUACCAACCAACCACCAACUACAAGUUCAAGUUGUUGAGAUAAAUAAACUUACUGAAUUGCUGAGUCUUCAUCGGACCAUAGAUCUUUCUCCAAUCUAUCUUUAUCUAAACCUGAAAACACACAAAGCGCAACAGAGGAGGAUGAAAACAUAUUCUCAGGGAACUUGUUCAGACAAAACAUGCAAGAAAGCUUGAUGUACCUUCUUCCUUAAGCGAAAAACACGAGCCGAAGCUGAGCAGGACUACAAAAGCCAUAACAGAACGCAUCUUCAGUAUCGAACUAACGGUGGAUCUUCGUUUCUCAUUCAUGACAGAGUAAGAACGUGAGAGUUGAACAGGAUGACGCAAGAAGAUGAUGGAAUCUAGAGUUUAUGGAUCUGAAUAUUUUGAAACUAGGAGCAGAGUAUCAGAAAAACAGGGAGAAGGUUGACGAAAAGACGGGUUUAUGAGAAGAUAAGAGAGGAAGGAAGCAUAAGACUUUUUCAUUUUUGAUGGAAAACGCGUUGCACCUUGUUAAGGCUAAUAAGGAAACGAAUCUAUACGUCCAAAAAAAAAAGAGUAUUGGUCAACGAUAACACAUUAACAAGUACUAGUAAACUGAACCGAACCAAAAUACAAUUAUAUUACUACUUACUUUUCCAAGACAGAAAAAAUCAAAACCAAACAAUUUAAACAAAACCAAAUACUAGGUUCGGGAAGAAAAACUAGAAACUCGAACUAAAAUACCCACUAAAAUAUCCGAACCCGAACCUGAUUCAAAUUGUAAAAAAUAAUGAAAUGAGUUAUGUAAAAAUAUUGGAAAUGGUUAUAUACGAGAUAUAUUUGAACCCGAAGUGUUAUUAAUUAAACAUGAACAAUUAUUCACAAAAAUGAAUGUUAAAGUAACUAAAAGAAACUCAAAAAUUAUUCAAUUCAAAAAUAAUACUGAAAUAGUAUCCAAAAUAAGUAUCUAAUCCCUAAAUAAAUUAUCAAAUCUAAAUUUAAGGUUUAUUUUGAUAUGAUAUCUAAAAAUACUAAAAUAUGAAGUAUUAUUAACUGAAUCUAAAAUGAAUUCAAAUCCAAAUUGGAUUUUCUGCCAAAGUUAUAUAAUAUACCUGAAUUUGAAGUAUUAAUUUACUCAACCCAAACAUAUAUAAAUUUGAAUGAGGUUUUGGAAACAGAAUUUGAAAAUCUAAAAAUCCGAUCUAAACCCAAACGGGUACACAAGGUCAAUGGCUACCAAAUGCUAAGACUUAUUUUUCUAAAUUUCUAUCGUCUUUUCAUAAAAUCAAAUUUUUCCAGAAAGAGCCACAUUUAAUGUUCAACAAAUUAGUCUCAAAGAAUGUUGUGGUAGAGUAGUAAAAGGGUUCACAAGGGAACUCCCAAUUAGCCAGCUGCCAUCAAAAAAGACUUGUGGCGUAGCAAAUGGUUUCUAUCUUCAUUUUCUUGUUUUUUUCCUACAAACUUUUAUUCGGUUGUAAAAUUCAACCAAGGCAAACAAAAUAGAAAAUGCCACGUAAAUUUGGUGUGAAGAUAUGUUAAUAAUGAUUGAAGGAAUGAUUUGUCAUCUUAAUUAUGUGGAGGAGAGAAAAUUAUGACUGGUUCAAUGUGGAGGCUGCUUAGAUGUUGCUUUCUUUAGUCUCCCAAUUCUUAAAACCAUGUGGGAUCCUCCUUGUUAGGUUACUAGUCAGCAAGCAAACCCCACGAUUCUUUCUAACUAAACUGCUUUACUUUCAUAUUAUAAUGUAUUUAUUUUUCUCAACAUUUUCAUGUUCUAAUGUUAUGAAAAUCAAUAUAAAAAUAUAUUUUAUAUUAUUCCCCCUGAAAAGAUGAAGAAAAUUUAAAAUGGGCUUAACGUCAAACUUUUCGGCUAAGCUGAACAACUUGGUUUUCUUUUGGGCUUGGAUAUAUAUUGUCAUAGAAAGAACACUUUGAAUACUUGGAACAAAUAUAGUUAUUUUUUUAACUUCAGAUGGUAAAGCUUUAAACUUUGAAUCAACCAGACUCAGUAUAAGAUCUCAGAUAAUAGAUUAUAUGCAUCUUUCAAGGGAUCAAAUCUGAUUUAACUCUGGUAUACUGAUGAUUAGCCACACUUCUCAUAGCCAAAUCUAUUCAGGUUUAAACUCAAAAAUGUCUAACGCCGCAAAAAUAGUCAAACCUUUAUAAAAUCAUGAGUAAACCCCUCAACGGGUGAAAAACAUGUCUCCACAAAAAGAAGAAACACCACACAACCUCUCGGAUGUUUUCUACUUUUAAAACAAAAAUACUCGAGAUAAUGGACGAACAGACAGAAAGAAGAUUGGUCGAAAAAAACGGUAUUACCGGCGAAUUCUACUCAAUGAUUCCGGCUCCUUCAAUGUCAACUUCACCCAUCCCUGUGUCCUCUUCUUCUUCUCCACUUUCUUCAUCCCCGCUGAUUUCUUCAUUGUCCAUUCUUAGCUUAGCCAUGUGUUCUGUCAGCAUCUUAUCAUCUCUUUCACUCACCUGUCAAACACACAUUUUAAGACUCUACAAAUAAAGGAAAGCUAGUUCUUGUAAUAUGCAACUUGGGAUGGUUCAACAACUAAAGAAGAAGAUACUCACAGCUCUAGGUGCUUCCUUAACGACGAGCUUGCCUUUGUGUUGAUCAAUUGUCUCGGUGCAAGCUACUAUGGCUUCCGUCAGAAUUUCAAUCCCUUGGUCCUGUUUAUUAUGUUAUUAGACACUGACAAGAUUAAAUACAAUAAGAUAAAAACAUAGCUUCAAAAUAAGAGAUUGUCUAACCUUGUCAAGAGUCUGAGUAGUAAGGACAUAAAGAGGCGGAGCAACCAACUUAAUCUUCACAGGACAGUCAUCGUUUCCAGCAGCUUCAGCCUUUCUCAUGGCCUCCUGAAAUUGAAAUUACAAGUAUGUGUGUGAGAAAAUCAAAUGAUGUAUUCUUUCCAUAUGUUAUAGAUAAUCAAAUAAGAGUUUACGACCUUGAUGUGGACAACUCCGUCAAACUGAAAACAUUUCAACUCGAUAUCAGCACGGAUUUUCAUCGGUUGUGGUGUCAUCCUCCUCCUAAUGUUCUUCACAAGAGCAUCCUUCACUUCUUCCGUAACAGCAGGUACAACUUUAGUCACCUACAAAUAGAAAUAUCCCAAGAUUAGGAACAAAAACAAAAAAAAUGAAGCCAGAGAACAAAGUAAUAUACCUCCUGCCCAUCAGGCCCAACUUCUUUGACCUCACGUGUGAGUGAACCCAACACUGAAUCAGGAUCAGUCACUAAGAUCUUGAAAGCCUGAACAAAACAAAAAAACAAAAAUCUCUAAAUACUAAAUAUCUACAUGAAUACAGCAAAAGCUCAACUCACAAACUCUUACCUCAAAAGCAUGACCAUGUUUCCGGUACAAAGGCCACCCAAUGUUCACAUACAACUCCUGCAAUAGAUAAAUUCAAAUCAAUGUACAUAACAACAAGGUGGCUAAUUUACACUAGAUACAUAAGUUUCAUAAUCAAUAUCACUAAAGAUUCAAUUUUUUAUUUAAUCAAAUCAAUGCAAGCUACUAUGAUUACACAAAGGUAGCUACUUUACACUAGAUACAUGAAUUUGCAUAACCAAUAUCACUAAAGAUUCGAUUUUUACUUACUCAAACUCAAUUUAAGCUACUAUGAUUAUUACACAAAGGUAGGUAAAUAAUUUGCAUAAUCAAUAUCACUGAAGAUUCGAUUUUUAUUUACUCAUACUCAAUGUAAACUACUAUGAUUACACAAAGGUAGCUACUUUACACUAUAUACAUAAUUUGCAUAAUCAAUAUCACUAAAGAUUCGAUUUUUAUUUACUCAAACUCAAUGUAAGCUACUAUGAUUACACAAAGGUACAUAGUUUGCACUAAAGAUUCGAUUUUUAGUUAUUCAAAUCUAUGUAUGGUUACACAAAGGUACAUUAAAGAUUCGAUUUUGAGUUACCUCCAAAUCGAUAGAAAGAGUCUCAGCGACAUGACGCAUGAUAGAAUGAACGAGCUUGCUCUUGUUAUACCUCUCUUCACAAGUCUGAAUAUCUUCCUCACUAACUCUACGUUUGCUCAGAUCAAUGUAACCUUUCUCUUUAUCCACACGCAGGACCAUGACGGGCUCGAUUCUCCCGACCUUGAUCAAGCUGCUCACACUCCGGAUCCGACGGCGGGAGAGCUCGGAGAAGAGGAUCAUGCCUUCGAUGUUGUUGUACUCGAGGAGGGACACGUAGGCUCCCAUGUCGGCGAUGUUCUUGACUUGGAUCAUCACAGCCAUGUCGACUUCUGGGUACUUGGCUUCGUACAUCCGGCACUCUAGAUUCGGGGUUUGACUCGCCAUGGUUGAAGAGGAUUAGGGUUUUGAGCGACCAAUCCAAGUGUUCUGAUUCUUUACCUACAAUAAAUAAAUAAAAAGAUUAGCUUAUGUAACCAACAUGUGACAUUAAGGCUUAUGUAAGGUUACUCACUGUGUAGAUGUUCAAAGAGUGAACCGUUUGGAGCAUAUUCAAAGAUCAAGAUCCUGGUGAAAGGUUCCUUUUCUUCACAGUAGCCAAGAAGGUUCACAAAGUUCUUGUGGUUUAUCUUGGAUAGCAUUUCAAUCUAAAAAUAAUGAAACCAAAAAUUAUAAGAUUGACUAUAUUGGUCAAAGACAUGAAAAGCAUAACUAUUUUUUUUUUUUGUAACACAUAUAAAAAGUAUAACUAAUAUAACAUACCUUCUUCCUGAAUUGAAUCUCUGUAUUUUCUUUCCAGUCAUUGGCACAAGUAGUGUCAAUAGAAGCAACAGCUAUCUCCACUCCACUUGAUAGUGUUCCUUUGAAGAGCUUCCCAAUGGGGCAUGAUCCAAUGACAUUACUGAAGUCUUCACAUGCAGCUUCAAUCUCUGAUCUUUUGAGAGUUGGGAUACCUGAGUAAUAAAAACACACAUUAGUUGAGAAACAUUAUGAAGUUAAGUGAACUCACCAAACAUAACGUGACAAAUGAGAAAGAAUAUUAUUACCAGUUACAAAUACUUUCUGAAGUUGUCCGCUAAGACCUGUACGCCAAGGAUUCACUGACUUCCCUACUUUAUUUUUAAAGUAGAACACACCGGUAGCUACAAGGAGGACGAGAACAACACCGCCCACGCAGGCAAGAACUACAGGAACAACCACUGAAGAAGAAGACGAAGAGGUUCUUGGAGUAGGAGAGUUUUCAUGGGGAACAGACGUAGGAGGAGGAGUAGGAGGAGGUGAAGUAGAAGCAUCUUGCGUAGGUUCUGGAUCCGAAGCUGUUGAAGAAUGAGUUGAGACAUUUUUAUGAGAAGGUUGUGGGGAUGAUGGUGGUGUGAUAGUUGCAGCUGCAGGCAUAGCCUCGCGGCUGUUUCUUCUGGAAGGCAAGUUGUCGUAUGUUAAUGGCUCACGAGGUACAAGUGCUUUCCUGUGAAACCCAACUGCUUUCCUACAGAGAAA
RNAcentral lists this long non-coding RNA (6413 nucleotides) under Brassica napus (rape). RNAcentral describes it as "long non-coding RNA (BNAP_LNC016608)". Lineage: Eukaryota; Viridiplantae; Streptophyta; Magnoliopsida; Brassicales; Brassicaceae. The record is from RNAcentral.